UCGGGAAUUUUGGGCAAUGGGCGAAAGCCUGACCCAGCAACGCCGCGUGAGGGAUGAAGUAUUUCGGUAUGUAAACCUCGAAAGAAUGGGAAGAAUAAAUGACGGUACCAUUUAUAAGCUCCGGCUAACUACGUGCCAGCAGCCGCGGUAAUACGUAGGGAGCAAGCGUUGUUCGGAUUUACUGGGCGUAAAGGGCGCGUAGGCGGCGCGGUAAGUCACUUGUGAAAUCUCUGAGCUUAACUCAGAACGGCCAAGUGAUACUGCUGUGCUAGAGUGCGGAAGAGGCAACCGGAAUUCUUGGUGGAGCGGUGAAAUGCGUAGAUAUCAAGAGGAACACCCGAGCCGAAGGCGGGUUGCUGGGCCGACACUGACGCUGAUGCGCGAAAGCCAGGGGAGCAAACG
RNAcentral lists this ribosomal RNA (402 nucleotides) under uncultured bacterium. RNAcentral's name for it is "bacterial SSU rRNA". It matches the Rfam family "Bacterial small subunit ribosomal RNA", at positions 355 to 774 of the family's 1533-position model. The record is from RNAcentral.